RNAcentral lists this ribosomal RNA (402 nucleotides) under uncultured bacterium. RNAcentral's name for it is "bacterial SSU rRNA". It matches the Rfam family "Bacterial small subunit ribosomal RNA", at positions 137 to 518 of the family's 1533-position model. The record is from RNAcentral.
GGGGGGAUAACGAUCCGGAAACGGGUGCUAAUACCGCAUAGUUUUCUUGAUCGCAUGAUCGGGAAAGGAAAGACGGCCUUUGUGCUGUCGCUUAUGGAUGGACCCGCGGCGUAUUAGUUAGUUGGUGAGGUAACGGCUCACCAAGACGAUGAUACGUAGCCGACCUGAGAGGGUGAUCGGCCACAUUGGGACUGAGACACGGCCCAAACUCCUACGGGAGGCAGCAGUAGGGAAUCUUCCGCAAUGGACGAAAGUCUGACGGAGCAACGCCGCGUGAGUGAAAAGAAGGUUUUUCGGAUCGUAAAACUCUGUUUGUCAGAGAAGAACAAGUUGGAGAGUAACUGCUCCAGCCUUGACGGUAUCUGACCAGAAAGCCACGGCUAACUACGUGCCAGCCGCCGC